Molecule: long non-coding RNA, 302 nt
Filed under: Numida meleagris (helmeted guineafowl)
Lineage: Eukaryota; Metazoa; Chordata; Aves; Galliformes; Numididae
Description: lncRNA (ENSNMEG00000000609.1)
Source: RNAcentral
GGCGGGUGGCAACGGGGUCGUGGCGGCGGCCGGAACCCCCCCGCCCGGACACGCCCGCCCGGGGAAGGCGGCCGGGGCACGGCGGGUGCUCGGCGGGCGUUUGCGUGACGGAGGGGCGAGGAGAGGCGGAGAUCUUCUCGAGAUACCAGCUCACGGAGAACACCUUCUUGAAGACCGUGCCAGGAUCUCACAGCCAGCACCAAAAGCUAUCCGUCUGUCCACCUGCACCGGGAUCUCACCUGCAUGGGCAUCUGCGUGUUCCCUUUCUGCUGUAGCAACGUGUGGAUCUCAGAGCGGUGGCA